RNAcentral lists this ribosomal RNA (1100 nucleotides) under Bacillus sp. (in: firmicutes). Its description in RNAcentral is "bacterial SSU rRNA". It matches the Rfam family "Bacterial small subunit ribosomal RNA", at positions 44 to 1125 of the family's 1533-position model. The record is from RNAcentral. Lineage: Bacteria; Bacillati; Bacillota; Bacilli; Caryophanales; Bacillaceae.
GUGCCUAUACAUGCAAGUCGAGCGGACAGAUGGGAGCUUGCUCCCUGAUGUUAGCGGCGGACGGGUGAGUAACACGUGGGUAACCUGCCUGUAAGACUGGGAUAACUCCGGGAAACCGGGGCUAAUACCGGAUGCUUGUUUGAACCGCAUGGUUCAAACAUAAAAGGUGGCUUCGGCUACCACUUACAGAUGGACCCGCGGCGCAUUAGCUAGUUGGUGAGGUAAUGGCUCACCAAGGCGACGAUGCGUAGCCGACCUGAGAGGGUGAUCGGCCACACUGGGACUGAGACACGGCCCAGACUCCUACGGGAGGCAGCAGUAGGGAAUCUUCCGCAAUGGACGAAAGUCUGACGGAGCAACGCCGCGUGAGUGAUGAAGGUUUUCGGAUCGUAAAGCUCUGUUGUUAGGGAAGAACAAGUACCGUUCGAAUAGGGCGGUACCUUGACGGUACCUAACCAGAAAGCCACGGCUAACUACGUGCCAGCAGCCGCGGUAAUACGUAGGUGGCAAGCGUUGUCCGGAAUUAUUGGGCGUAAAGGGCUCGCAGGCGGUUUCUUAAGUCUGAUGUGAAAGCCCCCGGCUCAACCGGGGAGGGUCAUUGGAAACUGGGGAACUUGAGUGCAGAAGAGGAGAGUGGAAUUCCACGUGUAGCGGUGAAAUGCGUAGAGAUGUGGAGGAACACCAGUGGCGAAGGCGACUCUCUGGUCUGUAACUGACGCUGAGGAGCGAAAGCGUGGGGAGAGAACAGGAUUAGAUACCCUGGUAGUCCACGCCGUAAACGAUGAGUGCUAAGUGUUAGGGGGUUUCCGCCCCUUAGUGCUGCAGCUAACGCAUUAAGCACUCCGCCUGGGGAGUACGGUCGCAAGACUGAAACUCAAAGGAAUUGACGGGGGCCCGCACAACCGGUGGAGCAUGUGGUUUAUUUCUAAGCAACGCGGAAAAACCUUACCAGGUCUUGACAUCCUCUGACAAUCCUAAAAAUAGGAGGUCCCCUUCGCGGGCAGAGUGAAAGGGGGGUCGUGUUUGUCUUCACCUCCUGGCCCCAAAAUAUUGGGUUAAUCCCCCAACCACCCCACCCCUUGGUCUUAUUUGCCAGCAUU